UACGUGGGGUGCAAGCGUUGUUCGGAAUUACUGGGCGUAAAGCGUGUGUAGGCGGCUCGCUAAGUCUGGUGUGAAAUCCCCAAGCUUAACUUGGGAACUGCAUCGGAAACUGGCGAGCUCGAGUCCGGGAGAGGGUAGCGGAAUUCCUGGUGUAGAGGUGAAAUUCGUAGAUAUCAGGAGGAACACCGGUGGCGAAGGCGGCUACCUGGACCGGUACUGACGCUGAGACACGAAAGCGUGGGGAGCAAACAGGAUUAGAUACCCUGGUAGUCCACGCCGUAAACGAUGAGCGCUAGGUGUCGCGGGUAUUGACCCCUGCGGUGCCGCAGGUAACCCAUUAAGCGCUCCGCCUGGGGAGUACGGUCGCAAGACUAAA
RNAcentral lists this ribosomal RNA (376 nucleotides) under uncultured bacterium. Its description in RNAcentral is "bacterial SSU rRNA". It matches the Rfam family "Bacterial small subunit ribosomal RNA", at positions 524 to 898 of the family's 1533-position model. The record is from RNAcentral.